Molecule: ribosomal RNA, 254 nt
Filed under: uncultured bacterium
Lineage: Bacteria
Description: partial 16S ribosomal RNA
Rfam family: Bacterial small subunit ribosomal RNA
Source: RNAcentral
UACGUAGGGUGCGAGCGUUGUCCGGAAUUAUUGGGCGUAAAGAGCUCGUAGGCGGUGUGUCACGUCGAUCGUGAAAACUUGGGGCUUAACUCUGAGCUUGCGGUCGAUACGGGCACCACUGGAGUUCGGCAGGGGAGACUGGAAUUCCCGGUGUAGCAGUGAAAUGCGUAGAGAUCGGGAGGAACACCCGUGGCGAAGGCGGCUCUCUGGAACGCAACUGACGCUGAGACGCGAAAGCGUGGGGAGCAAACAGG